CAGCCGCCACGGUAAUACGUAGGGUGCAAGCGUUAAUCGGAAUUACUGGGCGUAAAGCGUGCGCAGGCGGUUGUGUAAGACAGGUGUGAAAUCCCCGGGCUUAACCUGGGAACUGCGCUUGUGACUGCACAGCUAGAGUAUGGCAGAGGGGGGUGGAAUUCCACGUGUAGCAGUGAAAUGCGUAGAGAUGUGGAGGAACACCGAUGGCGAAGGCAGCCCCCUGGGCCAAUACUGACGCUCAUGCACGAAAGCGUGGGGAGCAAGCAGGAUUAGAUACCCCUGUAGUCCCUGUCUCUUAUAC
Molecule: ribosomal RNA, 301 nt
Filed under: uncultured bacterium
Lineage: Bacteria
Description: partial 16S ribosomal RNA
Rfam family: Bacterial small subunit ribosomal RNA
Source: RNAcentral